Molecule: long non-coding RNA, 670 nt
Organism: Xiphophorus couchianus (Monterrey platyfish)
Lineage: Eukaryota; Metazoa; Chordata; Actinopteri; Cyprinodontiformes; Poeciliidae
Exons: 5
Source: RefSeq, a predicted model, not a curated record
CAGAAGACGCCGAGCCGGCCUCCUCUCAUCGUGGCGUCUAUGAUGACGCCGGUGUCUGCCACCAUCUGAGAGCCCUCAUAGAAACGGACUCUGCAGCAACAGCAGAGGGCAGCAAAAGCAAAGAAAACUUGAAGGUCUUUCUGUUUGUGUGUGAACCUGUGUGUUUGGGAUCCCAUCCCCAUCUGCGUCGUCAUCACAAGCGUCUCCAAUCCCAUCGUUGUCGGCGUCCUCCUGGCCGGAGUUUGGCACGGUCAGGUCAGGACAGUUCAGCUUCUCGUCAGGUAAACCAUCAAUGUCAGUGUCCGUUCCACACAGUGGCGUAAGCGAGUCCAACCCCCUGGACCUGAGGUCCGGUGUAUCCUGCAGGACAGGAACCGCAGCGGAAACCCGGGGACGUGUUGAUGCAGCGGACCCCCAUGUGGCACGGCAUCACCUUACACUGGAAACAGAUUAACAACUCAGGGAAGAAGAUAAGAUGAUGCUCCAAAAGUGAUUUUCCAGAUAUGGAGAAGAUGGAAGAUUUUCUGGAAGCUGCAUUUUCCAGCCAAACCGCUGGAAUGAAAAGCAGUGGGUGUCGGAAAGUGUCAACAAAUGUACUGAGGUAGAAAGACUCUGUUUUUCAUGAGUCCUGGUUUAUUCUAAAUUAAACUGCUAAAAAGAACACAUUAAA